GGGCUGAAGCCUUUCCCUACUCUCGAGGUUUCUUUCUUCUGUAUUUCAGACUUUUGUCUCUUCCUGCUUGAGGGCUCAUUUCUCAGAAUCUUGUAGCCUGGAGCAGGUGCGGUUCCCGACCUUGAAGGUAAGUCACCUAUCCCUCAGAGCACAGUGUCUGCAUCUGUCACUGAGAACCCACUCCUUGCCCUGCCUUCCUCCCCAAGGUGUUAAUAAUUAUGGAGGGGCUCUACUGGGGGCCUCCUCCUACUCAUUUACCCAAGUAAGUGAGUGCACCAUUCCUACCUCCUCCUUUGGUGACUGUAAACUCAUGGAAUCUUGGGACCAUGGAGCAGAAACGCUUCUGAGGCCAUCUCUGCAACAGUCCUUUCUACCACAUUCUAACCAAUUGGCCAUCAGGGUAGACUGUAAGAUGGAUACCUGGAGGGCAACAAACACCUUCUUCAGAGUCCUUUGGGGCUCUGUCUACAUAACACCCCGGUGCUCGAUUGACCAAAGUCCUUCAAUCUGGAAAGAGGGUCCCCUGGAAGGAGAGAAGAGCCAGAGACAGGCACUCCAUAUCGGAGUCUACAAAUCAUUUGCAGGAAUGGAAAUCUGGAACUGAAGACCAGAGCAGAAGAUGACAGCGGAGACACAGUGGGCCUAUGACAAGACAGAAUAGUAGUGUCUCUGAACCUGCAGUAGUGUGGUAGUAGGUGUUUAACAACUAGCUUUGGUGUGACAGGAGCUAUGAUUGGUAAUAUUUGCUGAUUUCCAUGGUGUAAAUACUCCCAUCAUGGCCGAUUUCAAAUUACCAACAUGGACUUGAGAAGAGCUAGCACAUCAUUAUAUAAUAUUUCUAUCAUAUAGAUAUAACAGAUGUAAAUAGCCUUCAGAGUCUAGAUAAUAGUAAAAUGUAGUAAAAUAUUUAGGAAGUGAUGAAUUUUAAGCAGUUAUUGUCUUUGUUUUUAAUAUAAUUUAUUUAAUUGUAAGUUUAUAUAAUUUAAUUUUUAAUAAUGGCUGUGUUUAACAACCAGUUUGCCAAAUUCCUGAAAAUUUAACAGUCAGCCCUCUGAGCUGGGAUAAGCUGCCUCUCAGCACACCGUCAGAGCCCUGUGCCCUCCCUCUAGGCCACUGGGAGAUACAAUGCAAGAGAUUUCUCUGUGGAGUUUAACACCAAAUAUUUGUUUGUUCUGGUUAUGUGCAAAACUUUUUUUUUUUU
Molecule: long non-coding RNA, 1201 nt
Filed under: Equus asinus (donkey)
Lineage: Eukaryota; Metazoa; Chordata; Mammalia; Perissodactyla; Equidae
Description: lncRNA (ENSEASG00005031335.1)
Source: RNAcentral